Molecule: non-coding RNA, 214 nt
Organism: Pelobates cultripes (western spadefoot toad)
Lineage: Eukaryota; Metazoa; Chordata; Amphibia; Anura; Pelobatidae
Source: the annotation of a GenBank genome assembly
GUGGAACGCAACCGGAAGUUGUGAUUUGGAACGCAGAACAUUACCGGACGGAUUACCAGCUGAUCUUAGCCGCGAAUUUUAAGGUGGCGAUCACCUGGAAAAUAUUGUUUCUAUUGAAGAGGGACUGCCUACAAAGGAACUCUCCAAUCAACAAUCGGACUGGUUAUAUUUAAGGGACUCUGUUGGGGGUGGGAUUAUGCAUGCUUUGUAUUUG